AUUUUUCAGAGUCCAUUUUAUAAUGUGGGGUUGUUACAAUUCUGCUUUUUACAUUUAUGUAGAGAGAACAUGCUAUAGCCAUAAGAGUAUAAGGAUUGGCAUCCAAUGCCCUGUGUCCAAAUCCCAACUCUGUCACUUACUGCGUUCUGUUGUCUUAUCUGCCAAAUACGGGUCAUAACUUUCUGUUGGUCUACCUCUCGAGGUUGCUAUGGGCAGUAAUGACAAAGCCAAGGAGAAAUCGUAAAGGGCUGCCCAAAUGUAAUCAUAAAAAGAGAGAGCAUUCCAUUUUUCUAACUUAGAAAGUCUGCAAACAGGGAGGCCUAGGGUCUAAUCACUUCAAUUCAGUCCAGGGAUGGUAAGCAUACCAUUGUAGAUGGGAUAGAGGAGGUACCAUUCAAUGUAAUCUGUCUUUAUCAUGGGGUUAGCUCUGGGAAUAAACAUGAAGUAUAAAAGUAUCUUUGGCUGCAUAGAAAUAGGGAUGACAAAAACAUUCUAGAAAGAACAUUAUGAUCUCAUAAACGACAUCAAAAUUCUCACUUGGACAUUGUGACCCAGCAAAUUAUCCUUUUAUUUGAAGGUAAUUACCUACCUUGUGGCUGACAUGUUUAUAAAGUAAACCCAAAGUAUUUAGUUUCCAUUUGUUUUUGUUUAGGUUGGUUUUUCCACUGUCUUGCCCUGGGUCUAAAGAAAGCCUGCACAUAAUAGGAAUGGCAUGGAGCUAUUUUAAAAAAUGUGGCCAGAGGAGCUGGAGCUGAACUGUCACUGCAGAAAUAAACAGUAUCUACUUGUACAACUUGACUUUAACAACAGUGGGGCCCGGGGAAGGCCUCCCACCUGCUACAGGCGUUACUGCCCCUUGUCCAGCGUCCUGUGUUAAUCCCCCACGCACGGUACCUGUUGCCACGUCUACUUCUAAUGCCGGCAAUGUUUACUUUUCUUCCCUUGCACAGACCCCUGAAUCCUUGAGAAGGGACUACCUGUAUCAUGCACACCACCUAGAAUGGGAUCUUAUUGCCAGCCAGCCAGUAACUUGUCCAGCCCCAGUACCUCAUUUUACUGCCUGCUCUCUUGGACUGAAUUGUCUACUAGGUGACUUGGAUUCUCUGAUGAGCACAAGGUGAACCUGAGUUGGGAUGCAAAAAGUUUAUUGGGGGUUAAGGCUUUGAAAGGAAAAGGGAGA
RNAcentral lists this long non-coding RNA (1180 nucleotides) under Vulpes vulpes (red fox). RNAcentral's name for it is "lncRNA (ENSVVUG00000025449.1)". The record is from RNAcentral. Lineage: Eukaryota; Metazoa; Chordata; Mammalia; Carnivora; Canidae.